GAUGAACGCUGGCGGCGUGCCUAACACAUGCAAGUCGAGCGAAGCGCUUAAAUUAGCUUUCUUCGGAAUGACGAUUUUUGUGACUGAGCGGCGGACGGGUGAGUAACGCGUGGGUAACCUGCCUCAUACAGGGGGAUAACAGUUAGAAAUGACUGCUAAUACCGCAUAAGACCCCAGCUUCGCAUGAAGCGGUGGUAAAAACUCCGGUGGUAUGAGAUGGACCCGCGUCUGAUUAGCUAGUUGGUAAGGUAACGGCUUACCAAGGCGACGAUCAGUAGCCGACCUGAGAGGGUGACCGGCCACAUUGGGACUGAGACACGGCCCAGACUCCUACGGGAGGCAGCAGUGGGGAAUAUUGCACAAUGGGGGAAACCCUGAUGCAGCGACGCCGCGUGAAGGAUGAAGUAUUUCGGUAUGUAAACUUCUAUCAGCAGGGAAGAAAGUGACGGGACCUGACUAAGAAGCCCCGGCUAACUACGU
RNAcentral lists this ribosomal RNA (480 nucleotides) under uncultured bacterium. RNAcentral's name for it is "partial 16S ribosomal RNA". It matches the Rfam family "Bacterial small subunit ribosomal RNA", at positions 28 to 506 of the family's 1533-position model. The record is from RNAcentral.